RNAcentral lists this ribosomal RNA (301 nucleotides) under uncultured bacterium. RNAcentral describes it as "partial 16S ribosomal RNA". It matches the Rfam family "Bacterial small subunit ribosomal RNA", at positions 509 to 808 of the family's 1533-position model. The record is from RNAcentral.
CAGCCGCCACGGUAAAACGUAGGUCCCGAGCGUUGUCCGGAUUUAUUGGGCGUAAAGCGAGCGCAGGCGGUUAGAUAAGUCUGAAGUUAAAGGCUGUGGCUUAACCAUAGUACGCUUUGGAAACUGUUUAACUUGAGUGCAAGAGGGGAGAGUGGAAUUCCAUGUGUAGCGGUGAAAUGCGUAGAUAUAUGGAGGAACACCGGUGGCGAAAGCGGCUCUCUGGCUUGUAACUGACGCUGAGGCUCGAAAGCGUGGGGAGCAAACAGGAUUAGAUACCCCUGUAGUCCCUGUCUCUUAUACA